Molecule: long non-coding RNA, 566 nt
Filed under: Homo sapiens (human)
Lineage: Eukaryota; Metazoa; Chordata; Mammalia; Primates; Hominidae
Description: non-protein coding lnc-IFNA1-1:1
Source: RNAcentral
AUGGCCCUCCUCUUCCCUCUACUGGCAGCCCUAGAGGUGUGCAGCUGUGGCUCUUCUGGAUCUCUAGGAUAUAACCUGCCUCAGAACCAUGGCCUGCUAGGCAGGAACACCUUGGUGCUUUUGGGCCAAAUGAGGAGAAUCUCUCCCUUCUUGUGUCUAAAGGACAGAAGUGACUUCAGAUUCCCCCAGGAGAAGGUGGAAGUCAGCCAGUUGCAGAAGGCCCAGGCUAUGUCUUUCCUCUAUGAUGUGUUACAGCAGGUCUUCAACUUCUCACACAAAGCGCUCCUCUGCUGCAUGGAACAUGACCUUCCUGGACCAACUCCACACUUUACGUCAUCAGCAGCUGGAACACCUGGAGACCUGCUUGGUGCAGGAGAUGGGAGAAGGAGAAGCUGGGGGCAGUGGGUGAUUGAGGGCUCUACACUGGCCUUGAGGAGGUAUUUCCAGGAAUCCAUCUCUACCUGAAAGAGAAGAAAUAAAGAUUGUGCCUGGGAAGUUGUCAGAGUGGAAAUCAUGAGAUCCUUUUCAUCCACAAGUUUGCAAGAAAGAUUGAGAAGUAAGGAUGA